Molecule: ribosomal RNA, 127 nt
Filed under: Streptomyces sp. ZEA17I
Lineage: Bacteria; Bacillati; Actinomycetota; Actinomycetes; Kitasatosporales; Streptomycetaceae
Description: partial 16S ribosomal RNA
Rfam family: Bacterial small subunit ribosomal RNA
Source: RNAcentral
UCUGGGCCAUUACUGACGCUGAGGAGCGAAAGCGUGGGGAGCGAACAGGAUUAGAUACCCUGGUAGUCCACGCUGUAAACGUUGGGAACUAGGUGUUGGCGACAUUCCACGUCGUAGGAGCCGCAGC